RNAcentral lists this ribosomal RNA (295 nucleotides) under uncultured bacterium. Its description in RNAcentral is "partial 16S ribosomal RNA". It matches the Rfam family "Bacterial small subunit ribosomal RNA", at positions 335 to 627 of the family's 1533-position model. The record is from RNAcentral.
UUUCCUACGGGAGGCAGCAGUGAGGAAUAUUGGUCAAUGGGCGGGAGCCUGAACCAGCCAAGUCGCGUGAGGGAAGACGGUCCUAUGGAUUGUAAACCUCUUUAGGCGGGGAGCAAUGCCGGGCACGCGUGCCCGGAGGGAGAGUACCCGCAGAAUAAGCAUCGGCUAACUCCGUGCCAGCAGCCGCGGAAAUACGGAGGAUGCGGGCGUUAUCGGGAUUUAUUGGGUUUAAAGGGGGGGAAGGCGGAUUUUUAAUUCAGCGGUAAAAUGUCCGGGCUCAACCCGGGCCGGCCGU